GGCAAGAUGGCCGAGCGGUCUAAGGCGCUAGGGUCAGGUCACCUGAUCAUGCAUGUUCUUCGGAAUAUUCCUAGUCUCGAAAGGGGCGUGGGUUCGAAUCCCACUCUUGUCA
RNAcentral lists this transfer RNA (112 nucleotides) under Aspergillus sclerotioniger CBS 115572. It matches the Rfam family "tRNA". Rfam says of the family: Transfer RNA (tRNA) molecules are approximately 80 nucleotides in length. Their secondary structure includes four short double-helical elements and three loops (D, anti-codon, and T loops). Further hydrogen bonds mediate the characteristic L-shaped molecular structure. tRNAs have two regions of fundamental functional importance: the anti-codon, which is responsible for specific mRNA codon recognition, and the 3' end, to which the tRNAs corresponding amino acid is attached (by aminoacyl-tRNA synthetases). tRNAs cope with the degeneracy of the genetic code in two manners: having more than one tRNA (with a specific anti-codon) for a particular amino acid; and 'wobble' base-pairing, i.e. permitting non-standard base-pairing at the 3rd anti-codon position. The record is from Rfam by way of RNAcentral. Lineage: Eukaryota; Fungi; Ascomycota; Eurotiomycetes; Eurotiales; Aspergillaceae.